RNAcentral lists this ribosomal RNA (253 nucleotides) under uncultured bacterium. Its description in RNAcentral is "partial 16S ribosomal RNA". It matches the Rfam family "Bacterial small subunit ribosomal RNA", at positions 524 to 776 of the family's 1533-position model. The record is from RNAcentral.
UACGAAGGGUGCAAGCGUUACUCGGAAUUACUGGGCGUAAAGGGUGCGUAGGCGGUUGUUUAAGUCUGUUGUGAAAGCCCCGGGCUCAACCUGGGAAUGGCAAUGGAUACUGGACAGCUAGAGUGCGGUAGAGGGUAGUGGAAUUCCCGGUGUAGCAGUGAAAUACGUAGAGAUCGGGAGGAACACCAGUGGCGAAGGCGGCUACCUGGACCAGCACUGACACUGAAGCACGAAAGCGUGGGGAGCAAACAGG